This 1157-nucleotide long non-coding RNA is filed under the name Anas platyrhynchos platyrhynchos (common mallard). Its description in RNAcentral is "lncRNA (ENSAPLG00000018517.1)". Lineage: Eukaryota; Metazoa; Chordata; Aves; Anseriformes; Anatidae. The record is from RNAcentral.
AUACAGUUGUACUUACAAAAAAUGAGUUUUGGAGUUAACUGCCUUUUGGGGGCAUUGUAAAUCUUCUUUCCCCGUUGCUUUGUGUGGGCUAACAUCAGCCAAUCCAUUUUACUUAGUGGCCUUUGUGGAUUUUUCUAUCAUGUUUUAAUGACCCUUUUGUGCUGUAUUCAUUGGACCAAGUACAUAGGAGAGCUGUCUAUCACAGUUUAGCACUUUUUUUGCAGUCCGUUUUUGUCUGUGUGAGGCAGAGAAGUGUGAAGUUCUUCUUUCUCUUGGCUUUGUGAUUUUGAAGGUGGGUGAUGCCAGCCCUGAGAAGGUUAUUAUCCAUUCCCUUGAAAACUACUUAAGUUGGCUGUCUGUCUUAGACAAUUAUUUUGGGCUCUAGAUCUUGAAUAAAAACAAAUUUAUAUCACUGAAAACCUUGAUGCAGAUGCCCAUGUCUGACAAUUCUCCAUUCAUUCUCUAGGAAUUUGUUGCUGAACACCUCUAGAGGCAAGUGAUUAAGCAUUAUGUAGAAACAAGGUGCUACCAAUUACAAUUUUCUCCAGCAAGUGUAGAAAAACCUGAGUCCCACACCAGCUUUGAUUCAUUCAGUGCUAGAACUGGUACCUAAUGCUGGGUGUUGGGAAAAAUGCUGUUCUGGGGAGAUAUUUUGGAUGGAUGUUAAUUUUCCCAGAGUGGAUAGGAGUCAUGGAAUUUCUGGAAGGAGUCAAAAGUAAAAAUGACAGAAGGAGAUGGAGUUUCCAGCCUUAUGAAUUAAGUUGUGUGCAUCUGUAACGGAAGGAGGCCUGCCUCAGUGGCAGCAAUAGCUCUUUUGCUCCUGGAGAACUCUUCCUCUUGACAGAGGUCUACAAACAGAUUUGCAAAGCCAAAGAGAGAAAUUGCGCUCUCUCAUGCAGCAUUCAACUUUCCAUUUUCUUCUGGUUCCUGAAUGUAGAAUUGCAUUUUAUUUUAUUCACUUGGAAAUCCUGCUCUUUAAAAUGAAGAGCUAUUCAAAACACAUAAAAGAUCCUGCGAGACACAUAAGUGUUUUUAUCUGCAACCAAUUUUACUGAAAGACUGGAGAAAAGAUGUGGCACAUUCCUUGUAUGAAAUGUUGUAUAAAGAUAUUAAGGGUGUGUGUCCAUACUGCUGAAUAAAGGGACCACAAAAUAUCA